Eucalyptus grandis is the source of this 843-nucleotide long non-coding RNA. RefSeq lists it as uncharacterized. The transcript is spliced from 2 exons. The record is from RefSeq and is a predicted model, not a curated record. NCBI's taxonomy places the organism in Eukaryota, Viridiplantae, Streptophyta, Magnoliopsida, Myrtales, Myrtaceae.
GGGGGGAAGGAAGGGAGCAGCUCGUGCGUGCAGCAGCCCGACGGAAGCUAGCCGAGCUCGCGCCCGCAUGCCCGUUGCCGGAGCUUGCCGUCGCCGCCGCCGCCGCGCGUCUGCCCCCGCGCCGCCCGUGUGCCUUGCCGCUCGCCCUACCCGCUCGCAUCUCCAUCUUCAUCUUAUCCUUCUUCGAAAGCCCAACAAACCAGCGAACCAGAAAAACUUCGUCUGAAGUCACUGCCGCUCGUUGCCGUCGCCGGAGUUGUCGCCCGUCCGCGCUCGCUCGCCUGCACGACCGCCCAGCUAGCCAAUUUCCGCCUCUGCUCAGCCGCUACUCGCGUGACAAGGACCCUCCAGCGUUGUCGUCCGACCGUCCAGCCGCCCGUUCGUCGUCGCUAAGGCCGCCGGAGGCCCCGCCUAGCCGCCGUGAGCCACUACCCGAGCUACCACCUCCUUCCUCCGUCGUUCCUCCGCCCGAUUAAGCUCGGAUCUGCCCUCCUUCGGCCCUAAGCAGCAGCCAAGAAAAUGGGUAUGGCAGCCCAUGUUUGGCCCGUUUUGGCCGGCUUCCCGAGCCCGGAUGCUCGGCCCGCUUUGAGGAAAGUUGUUCUCCUCGGCGUCCCCGUCGUUUUGGUCCGCUCGGCACGCUAAUCCGGUCCCUGGUGGACGGAGCGGCCAUAUAGCUUUGGUUGGCCUUAAGGAGUUGGAGAGGUGAAGUUAUAAGGAUUGGAGAUCGUGUACGACUUGUAGGUCGUAGGAUAACCUCUUUUUAAGAGCCAGUCUUUUGUAGACUAUUGGCCGUAAACCCCUGUUUGUAAUUCUGUUGAAUUAUGUUUAAGUGUUAUGUUGUGA